Molecule: long non-coding RNA, 313 nt
Filed under: Elaeis guineensis (African oil palm)
Lineage: Eukaryota; Viridiplantae; Streptophyta; Magnoliopsida; Arecales; Arecaceae
Description: long non-coding RNA (EGUI_LNC019590)
Source: RNAcentral
CAGCACUUAUCCCACCUAAGACAAUUCCUGAUCCUGAUGAUAAGAAGCCCGAGGACUGGGAUGAGAGGCCUAAGAUUCCAGAUCCAGAUGCUGUUAAGCCUGAUGACUGGGAUGAGGAUGCUCCACCAGAGAUUGAAGAUGAGGAUGCUGUUAAACCUGAAGGUUGGCUGGAUGAUGAACCUGAGGAAAUUGAUGAUCCUGAAGCCACCAAACCUGAAGAUUGGGAUGACGAGGAGGAUGGAGAAUGGGAGGCACCUAAGAUCGAUAACCCAAAGUGCGAAGCAGCACCUGGCUGUGGGGAGUGGACAAGGCC